UGCCAGCAGCCGCGGUAACACGUAAGGGGCGAGCGUUGUUCGGAAUUAUUGGGCGUAAAGGGCGUGCAGGCGGUCGUGCAAGUCUGGUGUGAAAGGUUGGAGCUUAACUCCAAACGCGCGCUGGAAACUGCAGGACUUAUGAGUGCCGGAGAGGAAGCUAGAAUUCCAGGUGUAGGGGUGAAAUCUGUAGAUAUCUGGAAGAAUACCGGUGGCGAAGGCGAGCUUCUGGCCGAGCACUGACGCUGAGGCGCGAAAGCGUGGGGAGCAAACAGGAUUAGAUACCCUGGUAGUCCACGCUGUAAACGAUGUACACUAGGUGUUGGGGAGUUAUCCCUGGUGCCGGAGCUAACGUGUUAAGUGUACCGCCUGGGGAGUAUGCUCGCAAGGGUGAAACUCAAAGGAAUUGACGGGGGCCCGCACAAGG
This 424-nucleotide ribosomal RNA is filed under the name uncultured bacterium. RNAcentral's name for it is "bacterial SSU rRNA". It matches the Rfam family "Bacterial small subunit ribosomal RNA", at positions 506 to 930 of the family's 1533-position model. The record is from RNAcentral.